Molecule: ribosomal RNA, 497 nt
Filed under: uncultured bacterium
Lineage: Bacteria
Description: partial 16S ribosomal RNA
Rfam family: Bacterial small subunit ribosomal RNA
Source: RNAcentral
GAUGAACGCUGGCGGCGUGCCUAAUACAUGCAAGUCGAGCGAACAGAUAAGGAGCUUGCUCCUUUGACGUUAGCGGCGGACGGGUGAGUAACACGUGGGUAACCUACCUAUAAGACUGGGAUAACUCCGGGAAACCGGGGCUAAUGCCGGAUAACAUUUAGAACCGCAUGGUUCUAAAGUGAAAGAUGGUUUUGCUGUCACUUAUAGAUGGACCCGCGCCGUAUUAGCUAGUUGGUAAGGUAACGGCUUACCAAGGCAACGAUACGUAGCCGACCUGAGAGGGUGAUCGGCCACACUGGAACUGAGACACGGUCCAGACUCCUACGGGAGGCAGCAGUAGGGAAUCUUCCGCAAUGGGCGAAAGCCUGACGGAGCAACGCCGCGUGAGUGAUGAAGGUCUUCGGAUCGUAAAACUCUGUUAUUAGGGAAGAACAAAUGUGUAAGUAACUGUGCACGUCUUGACGGUACCUAAUCAGAAAGCCACGGCUAACUACGUG